CAAAUUCUGACAUUGGGGACAAUGAAAUUGUUUAUAGUUUCCACAAUUAAUUCAAAACACUUCUUAAAAUUUCAUCCUUGUAUCUAGAAAAAAUUUUGCUUUUCCAAUCAGGAAUUUUAGUUUCAUAAAAAGAACUAGGAAGUGAAAAUGAUGUAUAAAGGUUUUUUUCAAACUUCUCAAUGCAGAGAUUAUGUCCCAAUCAUCAUGAUGCUGAAAGACUUCAGAAAUAUGUGACUCUGUGUUUAAAUCAAGUACCUGACCUCAGAAAGAUGAGUGAUCAAACCUACUUACCAUAUGAUUAUUAAGGCAACUAGUUUAAAAAGAAAUUACAAGGUCAGUUGACCCAAGGAUGAGCAGGAUUUU
This 363-nucleotide long non-coding RNA is filed under the name Bos taurus (domestic cattle). RNAcentral's name for it is "long non-coding RNA NONBTAT007160". The record is from RNAcentral. Lineage: Eukaryota; Metazoa; Chordata; Mammalia; Artiodactyla; Bovidae.